AUGGAUGAGACGAAAUAAUAAUAAUAAUA
This 29-nucleotide small RNA is filed under the name Bombyx mori (domestic silkworm). RNAcentral's name for it is "ovarian small RNA-12620". The record is from RNAcentral. Lineage: Eukaryota; Metazoa; Arthropoda; Insecta; Lepidoptera; Bombycidae.